GGAAACCGGGGCUAAUACCGGAUAGUUCUUUUCCUCGCAUGAGGAAAAGUGGAAAGGCGGCUUCGGCUGCCACUUACAGAUGGACCCGCGGCGCAUUAGCUAGUUGGUGAGGUAACGGCUCACCAAGGCAACGAUGCGUAGCCGACCUGAGAGGGUGAUCGGCCACACUGGGACUGAGACACGGCCCAGACUCCUACGGGAGGCAGCAGUAGGGAAUCUUCCGCAAUGGACGAAAGUCUGACGGAGCAACGCCGCGUGAGUGAUGAAGGUUUUCGGAUCGUACAGCUCUGUUGUUAGGGAAGAACAAGUGCCGUUCGAAUAGGGCGGCACCUUGACGGUACCUAACCAGAAAGCCACGGCUAACUACGUGCCAG
Molecule: ribosomal RNA, 374 nt
Filed under: Bacillus sp. CSeA15_56
Lineage: Bacteria; Bacillati; Bacillota; Bacilli; Caryophanales; Bacillaceae
Description: bacterial SSU rRNA
Rfam family: Bacterial small subunit ribosomal RNA
Source: RNAcentral